RNAcentral lists this ribosomal RNA (343 nucleotides) under Clostridioides difficile. Its description in RNAcentral is "bacterial SSU rRNA". It matches the Rfam family "Bacterial small subunit ribosomal RNA", at positions 1200 to 1533 of the family's 1533-position model. The record is from RNAcentral. Lineage: Bacteria; Bacillati; Bacillota; Clostridia; Peptostreptococcales; Peptostreptococcaceae.
CCUUAUGCUUAGGGCUACACACGUGCUACAAUGGGUAGUACAGAGGGUUGCCAAGCCGUAAGGUGGAGCUAAUCCCUUAAAGCUACUCUCAGUUCGGAUUGUAGGCUGAAACUCGCCUACAUGAAGCUGGAGUUACUAGUAAUCGCAGAUCAGAAUGCUGCGGUGAAUGCGUUCCCGGGUCUUGUACACACCGCCCGUCACACCACGGGAGUUGGAGACGCCCGAAGCCGAUUAUCUAACCUUUUGGAAGAAGUCGUCGAAGGUGGAAUCAAUAACUGGGGUGAAGUCGUAACAAGGUAGCCGUAUCGGAAGGUGCGGCUGGAUCACCUCCUUUCUAAGGAGA